GGGUUGUGAGGUUAAGCGACUAAGCGUACACGGUGGAUGCCCUGGCAGUCAGAGGCGAUGAAGGACGUGCUAAUCUGCGAAAAGCGCCGGCGAGGUGAUAUGAACCUUUGACCCGGCGAUGUCCGAAUGGGGAAACCCAGUGCAAUCCGUUGCACUAUCGUUAACUGAAUACAUAGGUUAACGAGGCGAACCGGGGGAACUGAAACAUCUAAGUACCCCGAGGAAAAGAAAUCAACCGAGAUUCCCCCAGUAGCGGCGAGCGAACGGGGAGCAGCCCGGAGUCUGAAUCAGCUUGUGUGUUAGUGGAACGGUCUGGAAAGUCCGACGGUACAGGGUGAUAGUCCCGUACACGAAAAUGCACAGGUUGUGAACUCGAAGAGUAGGGCGGGACACGUGGUAUCCUGUCUGAAUAUGGGGGGACCAUCCUCCAAGGCUAAAUACUCCUGACUGACCGAUAGUGAACCAGUACCGUGAGGGAAAGGCGAAAAGAACCCCGGCGAGGGGAGUGAAAAAGAACCUGAAACCGUGUACGUACAAGCAGUGGGAGCCUCUUUAUGGGGUGACUGCGUACCUUUUGUAUAAUGGGUCAGCGACUUAUAUUCUGUAGCAAGGUUAACCGUAUAGGGGAGCCGAAGGGAAACCGAGUCUUAACUGGGCGUUAAGUUGCAGGGUAUAGACCCGAAACCCGGUGAUCUAGCCAUGGGCAGGUUGAAGGUUGGGUAACACUAACUGGAGGACCGAACCGACUAAUGUUGAAAAAUUAGCGGAUGACCUGUGGCUGGGGGUGAAAGGCCAAUCAAACCGGGAGAUAGCUGGUUCUCCCCGAAAGCUAUUUAGGUAGCGCCUCGUGAAUUCAUCUUCGGGGGUAGAGCACUGUUUCGGCUAGGGGGCCAUCCCGGCUUACCAACCCGAUGCAAACUACGAAUACCGAAGAAUGUUAUCACGGGAGACACACGGCGGGUGCUAACGUCCGUCGUGAAGAGGGAAACAACCCAGACCGCCAGCUAAGGUCCCAAAGUCAUGGUUAAGUGGGAAACGAUGUGGGAAGGCACAGACAGCCAGGAUGUUGGCUUAGAAGCAGCCAUCAUUUAAAGAAAGCGUAAUAGCUCACUGGUCGAGUCGGCCUGCGCGGAAGAUGUAACGGGGCUAAACCAUGCACCGAAGCUGCGGCAGCGACGCUUAUGCGUUGUUGGGUAGGGGAGCGUUCUGUAAGCCGUUGAAGGUGUCCUGUGAGGGGUGCUGGAGGUAUCAGAAGUGCGAAUGCUGACAUAAGUAACGAUAAAGCGGGUGAAAAGCCCGCUCGCCGGAAGACCAAGGGUUCCUGUCCAACGUUAAUCGGGGCAGGGUGAGUCGACCCCUAAGGCGAGGCCGAAAGGCGUAGUCGAUGGGAAACAGGUUAAUAUUCCUGUACUUGGUGUUACUGCGAAGGGGGGACGGAGAAGGCUAUGUCAGCCGGGCGACGGUUGUCCCGGUUUAAGCAUGUAGGCGGAGGUUCCAGGUAAAUCCGGUACCUUAUUAACGCUGAGGUGUGAUGACGAGGCACUACGGUGCUGAAGUGAUAAAUGCCCUGCUUCCAGGAAAAGCCUCUAAGCAUCAGGUAACACGAAAUCGUACCCCAAACCGACACAGGUGGUCAGGUAGAGAAUACCAAGGCGCUUGAGAGAACUCGGGUGAAGGAACUAGGCAAAAUGGUGCCGUAACUUCGGGAGAAGGCACGCUGAUAUGUAGGUGAAGUCCCUGCGGACGGAGCUGAAAUCAGUCGAAGAUACCAGCUGGCUGCAACUGUUUAUUAAAAACACAGCACUGUGCAAACACGAAAGUGGACGUAUACGGUGUGACGCCUGCCCGGUGCCGGAAGGUUAAUUGAUGGGGUUAGCGGCAACGCGAAGCUCUUGAUCGAAGCCCCGGUAAACGGCGGCCGUAACUAUAACGGUCCUAAGGUAGCGAAAUUCCUUGUCGGGUAAGUUCCGACCUGCACGAAUGGCGUAAUGAUGGCCAGGCUGUCUCCACCCGAGACUCAGUGAAAUUGAACUCGCUGUGAAGAUGCAGUGUACCCGCGGCAAGACGGAAAGACCCCGUGAACCUUUACUAUAGCUUGACACUGAACACUGGUCCUUGAUGUGUAGGAUAGGUGGGAGGCUUUGAAGCGUGGACGCCAGUCUGCGUGGAGCCAACCUUGAAAUACCACCCUUUAAUGGCUGGUGUUCUAACGUAGACCCGUAAUCCGGGUUGCGGACAGUGUCUGGUGGGUAGUUUGACUGGGGCGGUCUCCUCCCAAAGAGUAACGGAGGAGCACGAAGGUUGGCUAAUCCUGGUCGGACAUCAGGAGGUUAGUGCAAUGGCAUAAGCCAGCUUGACUGCGAGCGUGACGGCGCGAGCAGGUGCGAAAGCAGGUCAUAGUGAUCCGGUGGUUCUGAAUGGAAGGGCCAUCGCUCAACGGAUAAAAGGUACUCCGGGGAUAACAGGCUGAUACCGCCCAAGAGUUCAUAUCGACGGCGGUGUUUGGCACCUCGAUGUCGGCUCAUCACAUCCUGGGGCUGAAGUAGGUCCCAAGGGUAUGGCUGUUCGCCAUUUAAAGUGGUACGCGAGCUGGGUUUAGAACGUCGUGAGACAGUUCGGUCCCUAUCUGCCGUGGGCGCUGGAGAAUUGAGGGGGGCUGCUCCUAGUACGAGAGGACCGGAGUGGACGCAUCACUGGUGUUCGGGUUGUCAUGCCAAUGGCACUGCCCGGUAGCUAAAUGCGGAAGAGAUAAGUGCUGAAAGCAUCUAAGCACGAAACUUGCCCCGAGAUGAGUUCUCCCUGAGACUUUAAGUCUCCUGAAGGAACGUUGAAGACGACGACGUUGAUAGGUCGGGUGUGUAAGCGCAGCGAUGCGUUGAGCUAACCGAUACUAAUGAACCGUGAGGCUUAACCUUACAACGCCGAAGCUGUU
RNAcentral lists this ribosomal RNA (2932 nucleotides) under Enterobacter hormaechei. RNAcentral's name for it is "23S ribosomal RNA". It matches the Rfam family "Bacterial large subunit ribosomal RNA". The record is from RNAcentral. Lineage: Bacteria; Pseudomonadati; Pseudomonadota; Gammaproteobacteria; Enterobacterales; Enterobacteriaceae.